GAUGAACGCUAGCUACAGGCUUAACACAUGCAAGUCGAGGGGCAUCAGGAAGAAAGCUUGCUUUCUUUGCUGGCGACCGGCGCACGGGUGAGUAACACGUAUCCAACCUGCCCUUUACUCGGGGAUAGCCUUUCGAAAGAAAGAUUAAUACCCGAUAGCAUAAUGAUUCCGCAUGGUUUCAUUAUUAAAGGAUUCCGGUAGAGGAUGGGGAUGCGUUCCAUUAGUUUGUUGGCGGGGUAACGGCCCACCAAGACUACGAUGGAUAGGGGUUCUGAGAGGAAGGUCCCCCACAUUGGAACUGAGACACGGUCCAA
This 314-nucleotide ribosomal RNA is filed under the name uncultured bacterium. RNAcentral describes it as "bacterial SSU rRNA". It matches the Rfam family "Bacterial small subunit ribosomal RNA", at positions 28 to 334 of the family's 1533-position model. The record is from RNAcentral.